This 376-nucleotide ribosomal RNA is filed under the name uncultured bacterium. RNAcentral's name for it is "bacterial SSU rRNA". It matches the Rfam family "Bacterial small subunit ribosomal RNA", at positions 796 to 1165 of the family's 1533-position model. The record is from RNAcentral.
CACGCCGUAAACGAUGAGUGCUAGGCGUUGGAGGCGUUUACCCCUUCAGUGCCGUAGCUAACGCGUUAAGCACUCCGCCUGGGGAGUACGGCCGCAAGGUUAAAACUCAAGGGAAUUGACGGGGGCCCGCACAAGCGGUGGAGUAUGUGGUUCAAUUCGACGCAACGCGAAGAACCUUACCCAGGUUUGACAUCCCGGGAAUCCGUGUGAAAGCACGGAGUGCCCCCUCACGGGGGAGCCCGGAGACAGGUGCUGCAUGGCUGUCGUCAGCUCGUGUUGUGAGAUGUUCGGUUAAGUCCGGCAACGAGCGCAACCCUUGUCGUCAAUUGCCAUCAGCUCGGCUGGGCACUCUAAUGAGACUGCCGGUGACAAACCG